Gouania willdenowi (blunt-snouted clingfish) is the source of this 2112-nucleotide long non-coding RNA. Ensembl annotates it as xylose isomerase-like. The record is from Ensembl. NCBI's taxonomy places the organism in Eukaryota, Metazoa, Chordata, Actinopteri, Blenniiformes, Gobiesocidae.
GUAAAACAAAAUUACAUUUUGACAAACCUUUUAUUGUAUACAGAUGCCUUUGUGGAAAAUAAAUUAAGAUCCAAUUGCGCAAGAUUUGGUUAAACAUGCGAUGUUUACUGUAUGCAAGGGAACCGUGUCAAAAUGUAUUCCCAAAAAUAAACGUGGAGGGUGAAAGUAACUAGUGACUUUUACUUUGAGUACUAUUUAAUUGAGCUACUUUUUACUUGUACUUGAGUAUUUUAUGUGUUACUUACUUGCACUUGUACUUGUAAUUGAGUACGAUUUCAAUCAAUUUACAGUAUUUCAACUUAAUUUAGUCGGAUACAUAAGUACUCUUUACACCUCUGGCUACUGAAUACUUAAAAAAGACCAUUAAAGACCCAAAGAUUACACGCACAUUUACACUAUAAGGAUAACUUCGGUUGUAGAAUACAGUACUGCACUACUACACUGCUUUAGAAGCAUUAAAAAAAAAGCGAACAGACAUUUCUUACAGCUCUGUCUUUUAAAACGUAAUGUUUAGGAUCUGGCGCCACCCUGUGUUCAAGGAGGGAACUGCUUCUUUGUUCUACACAUUAGGAGCUACUAGCAGGAUUCUUCCAGCUCAGCAGAGCAGACAUGGCCGCACAGAAGGAAUUCUUUCCGGGCGUUUCCAAGAUCCAGUAUGUCCCCAAUGCUGGGCCCAGUGAGGUCAUGUGCUUCAAACAUUACAAUGCACAGGAGGUGCUGAUGGGAAGAACCAUGGAGGACUGGCUCAGGUUCUCAGUCUGCUACUGGCACUCCUUCUGUGGAACUGGUGCUGAUCCUUUUGGGUUCCCGACCCUCCUCCGGCUCUGGAAUGAAGGGACUCCAAUGGAGUCAGCUAAGAAGAGACUCAGUGCGGCCUUUGAGUUUUUCACCAAGCUUGGUGUGAAGUAUUACACGUUUCAUGACCGAGACAUGUCCCCUGAAGGCCUCACGAUGGAGGAGUCCAACAGGAAUCUGGAGGAGAUCUCAGACUUAGCUCUGGAGUUACAGAGACAGACUGCAGUCAAAGUGCUGUGGGUCACCUGCAACCUGUUCGCCCAUCAGAGGUACAUGAACGGUGCAGCCACAAACCCAGACUGCCACGUGCUGGCUUAUGCUGGUGCUCAGGUAAAGAAAGGUCUGGAUAUUGCCAAGAAACUGGGAGCUGAAAACUUUGUGUUUUGGGGAGGCAGGGAAGGCUUUCUUUCCAUCCAUAACACAGAUGUGGCUGCUGAGCUGCAGCACAUGGCCAACUUCUUCAGAAUGGCUGUUAAGUACAAGGAGAAGAUUGGGUUGAAUUGUCAGUUCCUGAUUGAGCCAAAGCCAAAGGAGCCCUGCAAACAUCAGUACGACUACGACGCCAUGAGUGUCAUCGGCUUCCUGAAACAUUACGGUUUGGAGAAUCACUUCAAGCUGAACAUCGAGCCCAACCACACCACCCUAGCAGGACACUCCUAUGAACAUGAUGUUGUCAUGGCCUCCGUUUUCGGCAUGCUGGGCUCAGUGGAUUCCAACACUGGCUCUCCUGACCUGGGCUGGGACACAGACCAGUUCCCCAUGGACAUCCGGAACACCACCUUAGUCAUGAAAACCAUUGUUGAACAAGGAGGUCUGCAGCCUGGAGGCCUGAACUUUGAUGCUAAGGUACGUAGAGAAUCCACUGACUUGGAGGAUCUGUUCAUCUCUCACAUCGCAGCUAUGGACGCCUUCGCUAGAGGGCUCAGGAAUGCUGUUCGUCUGAUAGAGGAUGGACUCAUCACUGCUAUGGUAAAGGAGCGUUAUUCUAGCUUCAGUCAUGGCCUUGGACUGAAGGUGGAAAAGGGCUCUGCCACCUUAGAGGACAUGGAGGCUUUCAUUAAAGAGAAUGGAGAGCCCAAAGUAACAUCAGGGAAACAAGAAAAAUAUGAGUCCAUCUUUAACCACUACAUCUAAAGUAAAAGUCCCAAUGAGAUCUUUAUGUUCUUCAUUGCUGAUGAGGAAAUGCAGGAGCAGUGCUGUACUGAUGUAUGUAUGUGUAUGUUAUUAAUGAGUACAUGUAAUGAAAGUCUGUUAACCAUCCAACUAUGUCUUUCUCUCUGUAAUAAAUCUGUAGCAUUGUUUGUUAUAAUAAACGUG